This 112-nucleotide ribosomal RNA is filed under the name uncultured bacterium. RNAcentral's name for it is "partial 16S ribosomal RNA". The record is from RNAcentral.
UUCUUUCCUUACGCAAGAGCUUUACAACCCGAAGGCCUUCUUCACUCACGCGGCAUUGCUGGAUCAGGCUUUCGCCCAUUGUCCAAGAUUCCCCACUGCUGCCUCCCGUAGG